GUUGAGAACUUUUUGUUUUUGGGAGUCAUACAUGCACUUAUCCAGUGAAGGAACCUUACAUAUUGCUAAUUUGCUCAAAAGUGUUUGCUAACUUGUAGAUGUCUAACCAAAACAAUAUUUGCAAUUGCCGAAAAUGGCUAGAGACUAAUAACAUUCUUUUCCAUCAUUUUUGAGCCUUACAAAUUUUCUGGCCUUAGUUCAUUGAUUUUUGAGCAAUCAAUUGAUACUUGAUGUGUCUUUGUUGUGAUGCCAUGGCAGUGCGCUUGACACUACUUUCGUUUUACUGGAAGUCUGAAUUGUGUUCUUCAACCACAUUUGUUUAGGGUCAGCCACAUGGAAAUACUUGUCUGCAUUUCCAUGCAAAAGGAUAUCAAUAUAAUGUUCUUUUUAACAACUUUGGAUUUUGAAACUAGGCAAAGUUGUUAACAAAGAUCAUCUGUAUUUUCAUUGAUCAAUCCAAUCUAGUCUUCCAUGAGCCAAGAGAUGGUGAAAAGGAAAAAGCUUUAUGCUGCUAAAAUCUGUAUUUUCAAUUGAUUCAAUUACUUUAAGAAAGUUGGCAUUGUGAUGAUACACAAUCAUAAAAUCUCUAAAAU
This 593-nucleotide unclassified non-coding RNA is filed under the name Hevea brasiliensis (rubber tree). Lineage: Eukaryota; Viridiplantae; Streptophyta; Magnoliopsida; Malpighiales; Euphorbiaceae. The record is from RNAcentral.